AAAUUUUUAAUUUAAAAAAAAUAAUUCAUUUACAAUGAAUUAAUAAUAAAUUGAUUUAUUAAAAUUUA
RNAcentral lists this transfer RNA (68 nucleotides) under Saphonecrus sp. ZJUH 20220015. RNAcentral describes it as "tRNA-Val". Lineage: Eukaryota; Metazoa; Arthropoda; Insecta; Hymenoptera; Cynipidae. The record is from RNAcentral.